This 633-nucleotide ribosomal RNA is filed under the name Bacillus sp. Sb3-5. Its description in RNAcentral is "bacterial SSU rRNA". It matches the Rfam family "Bacterial small subunit ribosomal RNA", at positions 709 to 1342 of the family's 1533-position model. Lineage: Bacteria; Bacillati; Bacillota; Bacilli; Caryophanales; Bacillaceae. The record is from RNAcentral.
CCAGUGGCGAAGGCGACUCUCUGGUCUGUAACUGACGCUGAGGAGCGAAAGCGUGGGGAGCGAACAGGAUUAGAUACCCUGGUAGUCCACGCCGUAAACGAUGAGUGCUAAGUGUUAGGGGGUUUCCGCCCCUUAGUGCUGCAGCUAACGCAUUAAGCACUCCGCCUGGGGAGUACGGUCGCAAGACUGAAACUCAAAGGAAUUGACGGGGGCCCGCACAAGCGGUGGAGCAUGUGGUUUAAUUCGAAGCAACGCGAAGAACCUUACCAGGUCUUGACAUCCUCUGACAAUCCUAGAGAUAGGACUUCCCCUUCGGGGGCAGAGUGACAGGUGGUGCAUGGUUGUCGUCAGCUCGUGUCGUGAGAUGUUGGGUUAAGUCCCGCAACGAGCGCAACCCUUGAUCUUAGUUGCCAGCAUUCAGUUGGGCACUCUAAGGUGACUGCCGGUGACAAACCGGAGGAAGGUGGGGAUGACGUCAAAUCAUCAUGCCCCUUAUGACCUGGGCUACACACGUGCUACAAUGGACAGAACAAAGGGCAGCGAAACCGCGAGGUUAAGCCAAUCCCACAAAUCUGUUCUCAGUUCGGAUCGCAGUCUGCAACUCGACUGCGUGAAGCUGGAAUCGCUAGUAAU